RNAcentral lists this transfer RNA (90 nucleotides) under Bacillus cereus. Its description in RNAcentral is "tRNA-Ser". It matches the Rfam family "tRNA". Rfam says of the family: Transfer RNA (tRNA) molecules are approximately 80 nucleotides in length. Their secondary structure includes four short double-helical elements and three loops (D, anti-codon, and T loops). Lineage: Bacteria; Bacillati; Bacillota; Bacilli; Caryophanales; Bacillaceae. The record is from RNAcentral.
AGAAGGUUACUCAAAUGGUAAAGAGGCUAGUCUUGAAAACUAGUAGGGGUGUAAAAGCCUAUGUGGGUUCGAGUCCCACACCUUCUGCCA